ACGGGAGGCAGCAGUGGGGGAUAUUGCACAAUGGAGGAAACUCUGAUGCAGCAACGCCGCGUGAGGGAAGAAGGUUUUCGGAUUGUAAACCUCUGUUUUUAGUGAAGAAACAAAUGACGGUAGCUAAAGAGGAAGCCACGGCUAACUACGUGCCAGCAGCCGCGGUAAUACGUAGGUGGCAAACGUUGUCCGGAUUUACUGGGUGUAAAGGGUGCGCAGGCGGGACUGCAAGUUGGAUGUGAAAUACCGAGGCUUAACCUCGGAGCUGCAUACAAAACUGUGGUUCUUGAGUGGAGUAGAGGUAAGCGAAAUUCCGAGUGUAACGGUGAAAUGCGUAGAUAUUCGGAGGAACACCAGUGGCGAAGGCGGCUUACUGGACUCUAACUGACGCUGAGGCACGAAAGUGUGGGUAGCAAACAGAAUUGGAUACCCUGGUA
This 437-nucleotide ribosomal RNA is filed under the name uncultured Clostridium sp. RNAcentral describes it as "partial 16S ribosomal RNA". It matches the Rfam family "Bacterial small subunit ribosomal RNA", at positions 341 to 792 of the family's 1533-position model. The record is from RNAcentral. Lineage: Bacteria; Bacillati; Bacillota; Clostridia; Eubacteriales; Clostridiaceae.